CCUANGGGUGGCUGCAGUCGAGAAUCUUCGGCAAUGGGCGAAAGCCUGACCGAGCGACGCCGCGUGUGGGAUGAAGGCCCUUGGGUUGUAAACCACUGUCAGAGGGGAUGAAGUGCAUGUGAGUUAUCUCAUGUGUUUGACAUAGCCUCAGAGGAAGCACGGGCUAAGUUCGUGCCAGCAGCCGCGGUAAUACGAACUGUGCAAACGUUAUUCGGAAUCACUGGGCUUACAGGGUGCGUAGGCGGCUUGUUAAGCAGGGUGUGAAAUCCCUCGGCUCAACCGAGGAAUUGCGCCCUGAACUGGCGAGCUGGAGUGGGACAGAGGUGCGCGGAACUUCCAGUGGAGCGGUGAAAUGUGUUGAUAUUGGAAGGAACGCCGGAGGCGAAAGCGGCGCACUGGGUCUCAACUGACGCUGAGGCACGAAAGCCAGGGGAGCAAACGGGAUUAGAUACCCGGNUANUC
This 462-nucleotide ribosomal RNA is filed under the name uncultured bacterium. Its description in RNAcentral is "bacterial SSU rRNA". It matches the Rfam family "Bacterial small subunit ribosomal RNA", at positions 338 to 795 of the family's 1533-position model. The record is from RNAcentral.